Molecule: ribosomal RNA, 253 nt
Filed under: uncultured bacterium
Lineage: Bacteria
Description: partial 16S ribosomal RNA
Rfam family: Bacterial small subunit ribosomal RNA
Source: RNAcentral
UACGUAGGGUGCGAGCGUUAAUCGGAAUUACUGGGCGUAAAGCGUGCGCAGGCGGUGAUGUAAGACAGAUGUGAAAUCCCCGGGCUCAACCUGGGAACUGCAUUUGUGACUGCAUCGCUGGAGUGCGGCAGAGGGGGAUGGAAUUCCGCGUGUAGCAGUGAAAUGCGUGGAUAUGCGGAGGAACACCGAUGGCGAAGGCAAUCCCCUUGGCCUGCACUGACGCUCAUGCACGAAAGCGUGGGGAGCAAACAGG